GACGAACGCUGGCGGCGUGCUUAACACAUGCAAGUCGAACGGAAAGGCACUACUUUUGUGGUGUGCUCGAUGGGCGAACGGGUGAGUAAGACGUAAGUAACCUGCUCUAGUCUUUGGUGUAACUUCAGGAAACUAGGGCUACUACCGGAUAGCAUCUCAUGCUGCAUGGAGGGCGUUGGAAAGUCUCGGCGGGUGGGGAUGGACUCGCGGCUGAUCAGCUUGUUGGUUGGGUAGUGGCUUACCAAGGCUUUGACGGGUAGCCGGCCUGGGAGGGUGACCGGCCACAUUGGGAUUGAGAAACGGCCCAGGCUCAUAAGGGAGGAAGCAGUGGGGGAUAUUGCCCGAUGGGCGGAGGCCGGAUGCAGCACCGCCGCGUGGGGGAUGACGGCCUUCGGGUUGUAAAACCCUUUCGCCAGUGACGAAGCGUGCGUACCGGAACUGGGUAAAGAAGAACGGGCAAACUAGGUG
This 468-nucleotide ribosomal RNA is filed under the name uncultured bacterium. RNAcentral's name for it is "partial 16S ribosomal RNA". It matches the Rfam family "Bacterial small subunit ribosomal RNA", at positions 28 to 507 of the family's 1533-position model. The record is from RNAcentral.